ACGAACCGUAGUCCGUACCAGCGAUACAGAUCCAUGUCGCCUCGUACUUCUCGUCAAACUCCUUCUUCAAGGUCGAGGCGACCUCCUUGUGAGGCUUCUUCUUCUGUAAAGAAAGGUGACUCAAGUUGUGACAGGUUUCGAACCUCCUGCUGUGUUAACUGGAAUGUCAAAGAGGACAGAAGUAGCUGGAGAUCUUCCAUCAAACUUUGAGGUUUGAAGUGAAAGCACGUCUAACCCUCACAAGACAAGGGACAGCUGACAACAAACUUAGGUGAGUGAGUGUUGAUACGGUUUCUUUGACUUUGACUUUAUUGACGAUGAGACAAGUCAUUACAAGGGUCUGCCUAGGCAGCUUUGGGCUGGUAGCGGCAGAACCUACAAAAAUGCGGACGAACAUACAAGGAAUUCAUAACAGGAAACAAUACAAUAUAAUGCAAUAAAAUAAUCAAUAACUAUAAAAUGUCAUGCAA
Branchiostoma floridae (Florida lancelet) is the source of this 470-nucleotide long non-coding RNA. RefSeq lists it as uncharacterized. The transcript has 3 exons. Lineage: Eukaryota; Metazoa; Chordata; Leptocardii; Amphioxiformes; Branchiostomatidae. The record is from RefSeq and is a predicted model, not a curated record.